GACGAACGCUGGCGGCGUGCUUAACACAUGCAAGUCGAACGGAAAGGCCCUGCUUUUGUGGGGUGCUCGAGUGGCGAACGGGUGAGUAACACGUGAGUAACCUGCCCUUGACUUUGGGAUAACUUCAGGAAACUGGGGCUAAUACCGGAUAGGAGCUCCUGCUGCAUGGUGGGGGUUGGAAAGUUUCGGCGGUUGGGGAUGGACUCGCGGCUUAUCAGCUUGUUGGUGGGGUAGUGGCUUACCAAGGCUUUGACGGGUAGCCGGCCUGAGAGGGUGACCGACCACAUUGGGACUGAGAUACGGCCCAGACUCCUACGGGAGGCAGCAGUGGGGAAUAUUGCACAAUGGGCGGAAGCCUGAUGCAGCAACGCCGCGUGCGGGAUGACGGCCUUCGGGUUGUAAACCGCUUUCGCCUGUGACGAAGCGUGAGUGACGGUAAUGGGUAAAGAAGCACCGGCUAACUACGUGCCAGCAGCCGCGGUGAUACGUAGGGUGCGAGCGUUGUCCGGAUUUAUUGGGCGUAAAGGGCUCGUAGGUGGUUGAUCGCGUCGGAAGUGUAAUCUUGGGGCUUAACCCUGAGCGUGCUUUCGAUACGGGUUGACUUGAGGAAGGUAGGGGAGAAUGGAAUUCCUGGCGGAGCGGUGGAAUGCGCAGAUAUCAGGAGGAACACCAGUGGCGAAGGCGGUUCUCUGGGCCUUUCCUGACGCUGAGGAGCGAAAGCGUGGGGAGCGAACAGGCUUAGAUACCCCGGUAGUCCACGCUGUAAACGGUGGGUACUAGGUGUGGGGUCCAUUCCACGGGUUCCGUGCCGUAGCUAACGCUUUAAGUACCCCGCCUGGGGAGUACGGCCGCAAGGCUAAAACUCAAAGGAAUUGACGGGGCCCCGCACAAGCGGCGGAGCAUGCGGAUUAAUUCGAUGCAACGCGUAGAACCUUACCUGGGUUUGACAUGGAUCGGGAGUGCUCAGAGAUGGGUGUGCCUCUUUUGGGGUCGGUUCACAGGUGGUGCAUGGCUGUCGUCAGCUCGUGUCGUGAGAUGUUGGGUUAAGUCCCGCAACGAGCGCAACCCUUGUUCACUGUUGCCAGCACGUUAUGGUGGGGACUCAGUGGAGACCGCCGGGGUCAACUCGGAGGAAGGUGGGGAUGACGUCAAGUCAUCACGCCCCUUAUGUCCAGGGCUUCACGCAUGCUACAAUGGCUGGUACAGAGAGUGGCGAGCCUGUGAGGGUGAGCGAAUCUCGGAAAGCCGGUCUCAGUUCGGAUUGGGGUCUGCAACUCGACCUCAUGAAGUCGGAGUCGCUAGUAAUCGCAGAUCAGCAACGCUGCGGUGAAUACGUUCCCGGG
RNAcentral lists this ribosomal RNA (1343 nucleotides) under uncultured bacterium. RNAcentral's name for it is "16S ribosomal RNA". It matches the Rfam family "Bacterial small subunit ribosomal RNA", at positions 28 to 1378 of the family's 1533-position model. The record is from RNAcentral.